This is a long non-coding RNA of Lytechinus pictus (painted urchin), 2271 nucleotides long. RefSeq lists it as uncharacterized. The record is from RefSeq and is a predicted model, not a curated record. Lineage: Eukaryota; Metazoa; Echinodermata; Echinoidea; Temnopleuroida; Toxopneustidae. The transcript has 3 exons.
GGCAGAUUUGAGAGAUGUUGAAUUAUGUCCAUUAUAUUAAAAAAAAAAGUAAUCUCAUGUAGAUCUACAGGUCUGUACUUUUUUUAUUUCCGCAAUAAAUUUUCGAAUGGAUGAAAACAUCUUACAACAUGUGCAGGCUGUCCUGAAGAAUGAAGGAGGAUUGUUAGAGAGGAAUAUGCCAACCAGAACUGCAAUUAGGAGUCAUUGACAGGAGGAACCGUUGUGACUUGUACGAGGAUGAAGCUUUCAAGCACCACACGCUACCUUAUCAACAUGCUUGAAGAUGAUCUGAGCCUGAGGAGGGACAAAGGGCCGAGUGAUCGACUACCUUUGUAUCUGCAAAUAUCGACAAUUCUGCGUUUGUAUGCUGAUAAUUUCAGGGAAUACAUGGUGAUGAGACAUCAGCUGUUGAGAGAUCAAAGAUGUUUCGCAAGCCAUAGCAAGAAGAAAGGUUUUGUGAGAACUUCAACAACCAGAGAUGAGAUUGAGGCUACCCAACAACAACUGUAUGAGCGUUGUGGCCCAGUGGAUUAGUCUCCCAGACCUUGAAACAGAGGGUCGUGGGUUCGAAUCCCAGCCAUGGCGUAAUUUCCUUCAACAAGAAACUGAUCCACACAGUGCUGCACUCAACCUAGGCUAGGUAAAUGGGUACCGGUAGGAAGUAAUUCCUCAAGAAGCUGUGAACGCCUAGCUUAGCCGGGUAAUAUAGGAGCGCCUUGAGCACCUAAUAAGGUGGAUAUGUGCGCAAUAUAAAUACCCUAUAUUAUUAUUUUGAGUACCAGUACUACAGGAAUUCAAUAGUCAUAGGUGUGAUCGAUGGGACCCAUGUCUAUAUAAGAUAAUAAGAAUUCCUGGAGGAACACAAGCUUUGUACUUUUUUGAAGGGCAAGUCCACCCCAACAAAGAGUUUCUUUUAUAUAAUAGAGAAAAGUCCAAUGAGCAUAACACUGAAACUUUCAUAAAAAUUUGAUGUAAAAUGAGAAAGUUCUGACAUUUUGAAGUUUUGCUUAUAAGUUAUUUUCACAAAACAUCUGUGCACAUCCUGGUCAUUAUGCAAAUGAGCGACCAAGUGACGUUCUCCAUUCACCGUUUCUUUUGAAAUAUAUCAUUAAAUAUGAUUUUUUUUUCGCCUCAUAAUGUGUAAUACAGGUGUACCGGUAUGCUUUGAUUUCUCCCUGAAAUUUGUGUAAAAAGCCAUUGUGGCAACCUGAACUCAAUUCAAUGAAGACUUAUAAUUGUGAAUUCUGUAAAAAUUCAAGUUUUAUAAUAUAUUUCAUAUCUUGAUAUGCAAAAGAAAGACUGUGACAUAGACUUAAUUGCAUAUCACCUGUUUUGUGCAUAUAAGUGAUUUGUGUGAAUCUUUGAUAUGUCAUUACUUAUUUUACAUCAUAUUUUGAUGUUGUCAGUGUCAUGCAUGUUUUAUUUUUAUCUAUCCAUUCAAAUAAACUUUUUGUUGUACAGUGGACUUGCUCUAGAACAGGUAUUUUUGUAUGUACAUGUAAGAAUUUCAUUAUUUAUUUGUGUCUUUUCUUUUAACGCUUUUUUACUGGGGGUUGAAGCAACCUCCCUUGAGAUCUUGGCCAAUGAUCACGUAAAUGCCUUGAAAAUUGGUAUGAUAAUAGUGGGGGAUGUAAUGUGCAAUGAAAUAUGGUUAAUUUUUCCGAAGUUGUCAGAUCUUUUAUAUGAAUUAUGCUAAUUUAUGUGUAAAUUAUACUUUUAUACCAUUGCUAUAAAAUGCUAACAAUCAAAUAUAUAAAAAAAAUCCUCGUUUGAAAAUGAAUUUCUUAUGUAUUUUAUUGUUUUAUGAAUUUCCUAUCUAUAUCUUUGUUUUUCAACCUUUUGGUUUUCUUUAUUAAGAAGAUGAGAAAUCUCAACAUUGACCUUUUACACAAAAUCCCAUUUUGGAGCAAUUCUGGGUCUGACAUGCACUUAUGUAAUAUUGAGUAAUUUUCCAACCGCAUACCAGGCAUCGUAAAUUUGGUCUCAAAAGAUGUGCAAGACUUCAAAAUAAAAUGUUGGCGAGCGGCACGGUCGUAUAAUUUCUCACAGUGGAAUGGUCGUGGAAAAUGUCGAGGGUGGGGGGUUGAUUUAACCCCCCCCCCCGCGGUUUUAGGGUUGAAAUAGCACAUGAUUUUUGAGAAUUUCACAUGAAUACAAAGGAAAUUAUCUAAUCUAUUUCUUUUUUAAGUAUUUGAAAUUAACUUUUAUCAGAUUUAGUUUCUUUCACAGACUACAUGUAUCUUUAAUGAUUUUAAAUUCAAACAGUUUGUU